This 1179-nucleotide long non-coding RNA is filed under the name Anolis carolinensis (green anole). Its description in RNAcentral is "lncRNA (ENSACAG00000040556.1)". The record is from RNAcentral. Lineage: Eukaryota; Metazoa; Chordata; Lepidosauria; Squamata; Anolidae.
AUGCAUGCCGGCCAAGUGUGGCCGGCCCGGCUUAACGUGUGGGCUUUGCUGCCUGUGGCUUUUUUCUUUUCUUUUCUUUUCUUUUGGCUGCCUCUCGGCCUACGUGGUCGAGUUUCCCACGAUGCACCGCAUCUCUCUUCUCUCGCGGCUAUCCCUCCGCACACUUUUGGGCAAUUUUUCCAAGAUCCUUCCUUUGGGCCGGGGUCCUCUGUUUUUUUUCUCUCUCUCUCUAGGGGAUGCAUGCCGGCCAAGUGUGGCCGGCCCGGCUUAAUGUGUGGGCUUUGCUGCCUGUGGCUUUUUUCUUUCUUUUCUUUUCUUUUGGCUGCCUCUCAGCCUACGUGGUCGAGUUUCCCACGAUGCACCACAUCUCUCUUCUCCCGCGGCUGUCCCUCCGCACACUUUUGGGCAAUUUUUCCAAGAUCCUUCCUUUGGGGCGGGGUCCUCUGUUUUUUUCUCUCUCUCUCUCUAGGGGAUGCAUGCCGGCCAAGUGUGGCCGGCCCGGCUCAAUGUCUGGGCUUUGCUGCCUGUGGCUUUUUUCUUUCUUUUCUUUUCUUUUGGCUGCCUCUCGUCCUACGUGGUCGAGUUUCCCACGAUGCACCGCAUCUCUCUUCUCUCGCGGCUGUCCCUCCGCACACUUUUGGGCAAUUUUUCCCAGAUCCUUCCUUUGGUGCGGGGUCCUCUGUUUUUUUUCUCUCUCUCUCUAAGGGAAGCAUGCCGGCCAACUGUGGCCGGCCCGGCUCAACGUGUGGUCUUUGCUGCCUGUGGCUUUUUACUUUCUUUUCUUUUCUUUUGAUUUUGCUGCCUAUCGGCCUACGUGGUCGUGUUUCCCACGAUGCACCGCAUCUCUCUUCUCUCGCGGCUGUCCUUCCAUUCAUAUUUGGGCAAUUUUUCCAAGAUCUUUCCUUUGGGACGGGGUCCUCUGGUUUUUUUCUCUCUCUCUCUCUCUACGGGAUGCAUGCCGGCCAACUGUGGCCGGCGCAGGGUGGGGUCUUUGCUGCUGAGAUAGACAUUGGGGUUCGGAUCCCCACGGGGAUUUUUCUUUCUUCUUUUUUCUCCAUCUUGGACAUUGCGGUUCGGAUCACCACGUUGAUUUUUUCUUUCUUUUUGCUCCAAUUUUUCCCACUCCCCCUGCCAGUGCUUUUAAUGGAUCCAAACCCUCAUGUGUAUCUCAGCAGCUAA